GGGGAAUAUUGGACAAUGGGGGGAACCCUGAUCCAGCAACGCCGCGUGAAGGACGAAGGCUUUCGGGUUGUAAACUUCUUUGAUCGGGGACGAAUGAUGACGGUACCCGAGGAACAAGCCACGGCUAACUACGUGCCAGCAGCCGCGGUAAUACGUAGGUGGCGAGCGUUAUCCGGAUUUACUGGGUGUAAAGGGCGUGCAGGCGGGUCUGCAAGUUGGAUGUGAAAUAUCCCGGCUUAACUGGGAGGGGUCAUCCAAAACUGCGGAUCUUGAGUGCUGGAGAGGAUAGUGGAAUUCCGAGUGUAGCGGUAAAAUGCGUAGAUAUUCGGAGGAACACCAGUGGCGAAGGCGGCUAUCUGGACAGUAACUGACGCUGAGGCGCGAAAGCGUGGGGAGCAAAC
RNAcentral lists this ribosomal RNA (401 nucleotides) under uncultured bacterium. RNAcentral describes it as "bacterial SSU rRNA". It matches the Rfam family "Bacterial small subunit ribosomal RNA", at positions 356 to 773 of the family's 1533-position model. The record is from RNAcentral.